CCUACGGGCGGCAGCAGUGAGGAAUAUUGGUCAAUGGACGCAAGUCUGAACCAGCCAUGCCGCGUGCAGGAAGACGGCUCUAUGAGUUGUAAACUGCUUUUGUACGAGGGUAAACGCAGAUACGCGUAUCUGUCUGAAAGUAUCGUACGAAUAAGGAUCGGCUAACUCCGUGCCAGCAGCCGCGGUAAUACGGAGGAUUCAAGCGUUAUCCGGAUUUAUUGGGUUUAAAGGGUGCGUAGGCGGUCGGAUAAGUUAGAGGUGAAAUCCCGAGGCUCAACUUCGGAAUUGCCUCUGAUACUGUUCGGCUAGAGAGUAGUUGCGGUAGGCGGAAUGUAUGGUGUAGCGGUGAAAUGCUUAGAGAUCAUACAGAACACCGAUUGCGAAGGCAGCUUACCAAGCUACUUCUGACGUUGAGGCACGAAAGCGUGGGUAGCAAACAGGAUUAGAUACCCGGGUAGUC
RNAcentral lists this ribosomal RNA (460 nucleotides) under uncultured bacterium. Its description in RNAcentral is "partial 16S ribosomal RNA". It matches the Rfam family "Bacterial small subunit ribosomal RNA", at positions 338 to 795 of the family's 1533-position model. The record is from RNAcentral.